Molecule: long non-coding RNA, 1134 nt
Filed under: Homo sapiens (human)
Lineage: Eukaryota; Metazoa; Chordata; Mammalia; Primates; Hominidae
Description: HSALNT0398194
Source: RNAcentral
AGCAAGGAGGCCAGUGUGGUGGAGAGGGUGGGGAAGGAGGAAAAGGUGGGUGGAAGUUGACGUCAGGAGAUGGACGGAGGGGCACAUGGCGCAGGGCCAGGUAAGGCACUGCCGAGACUGUGGCUUUGAGGGGCAGGGUGCUGUGAAAGGCGAAUAACGGCCCCCCAGUGACGUCUACAUCCUAAUCCCCUGUGAAUGUUACGUUAUAUGACAAAAGAAUGCAGCCAUGAUUAAGUUCAGGAUCGUGCUUUGGGGAGAUUAUCCUGGAUUGCCCUGGCAGGCUCUUUAUGUAAUCACACAGAUCCUUAUAAUCGAGAAGGACACAGGAAGCGUGAGUCAGAGGGGCUGUGACAACAAAGGAAGCAAAGCCCUUUGAAGACGGGAGAAGGAGCUGAAAGUCAAGCAGCACUUCAGAGUCAGAAUGAUUGAGUGUGAGAGAGUCCAUGGGCCAUCGUGAGUGUUGAAGACGGAAGGGGGCCUUGAGCUAAGGAAUGCAAGAAACUUCUAGAAGCUGGAGGAGGGCCAAGCUCAGUGGCUCACGCCUGCAGUCCCAGCACUUUGGGAGGCCAAGGAAAUGGGAAACUAAUCUAGAGGAUGAGGAAGAAAUCACAGAAGGAGAAGUUGCGUCUCAUGCUGACUCAGUAUGCAAAUACUCUCUGGGAGACUUCUCCAUCCUCAGACCGCUCCAGACACCAAAUGCCUGGGCCUUUGACCGCCUUGCUAAGAGGGUCAACCAAGCCAGCCAGCCCUAUUCUAGGUUCUGGGGAGACAGCCAUGAAUGAGACAGUGAUGGCUGCUUUUGGAGAGCUGACCUUCUAGUGGGAGACAGGCCACAGAAAAACAAAGCACAUGGAACAUAAUGUCAGGGAUGACGAUGCUGUGAAGGAAUGGAGCAGGUGCUAAGAACCUACUGGAACGGGCAUGCUUAAGAGGUGCUGGAGAGGGUCAACUCUUGGGUGACUGCUUCGAGCAAUGGGAGGGUGGGGAGCAGGGGUGUUGUACACACUGCGACAGGGCCAGGUUUGCAAAAGAAAUCAAGACAUGGCCACACAAACACUUCUGUGUGACUGUUCACAGCAGCAUUAUUCACAAUAGCCAAAAGGUAGAAAUAACCCAAAUGCCCAUGAACAGACG